GCGGCUUAMCAUGCAGUCGAGCGGGGAAGGUAGCUUGCUACUGGACCUAGCGGCGGACGGGUGAGUAAUGCUUAGGAAUCUGCCUAUUAGUGGGGGACAACAUCUCGAAAGGGAUGCUAAUACCGCAUACGUCCUACGGGAGAAAGCAGGGGAUCUUCGGACCUUGCGCUAAUAGAUGAGCCUAAGUCGGAUUAGCUAGUUGGUGGGGUAAAGGCCUACCAAGGCGACGAUCUGUAGCGGGUCUGAGAGGAUGAUCCGCCACACUGGGACUGAGACACGGCCCAGACUCCUACGGGAGGCAGCAGUGGGGAAUAUUGGACAAUGGGCGCAAGCCUGAUCCAGCCAUGCCGCGUGUGUGAAGAAGGCCUUAUGGUUGUAAAGCACUUUAAGCGAGGAGGAGGCUACUCUAGUUAAUACCUAGGGAUAGUGGACGUUACUCGCAGAAUAAGCACCGGCUAACUCUGUGCCAGCAGCCGCGGUAAUACAGAGGGUGCAAGCGUUAAUCGGAUUUACUGGGCGUAAAGCGCGCGUAGGCGGCUAAUUAAGUCAAAUGUGAAAUCCCCGAGCUUAACUUGGGAAUUGCAUUCGAUACUGGUUAGCUAGAGUGUGGGAGAGGAUGGUAGAAUUCCAGGUGUAGCGGUGAAAUGCGUAGAGAUCUGGAGGAAUACCGAUGGCGAAGGCAGCCAUCUGGCCUAACACUGACGCUGAGGUGCGAAAGCAUGGGGAGCAAACAGGAUUAGAUACCCUGGUAGUCCAUGCCGUAAACGAUGUCUACUAGCCGUUGGGGCCUUUGAGGCUUUAGUGGCGCAGCUAACGCGAUAAGUAGACCGCCUGGGGAGUACGGUCGCAAGACUAAAACUCAAAUGAAUUGACGGGGGCCCGCACAAGCGGUGGAGCAUGUGGUUUAAUUCGAUGCAACGCGAAGAACCUUACCUGGCCUUGACAUAGUAAGAACUUUCCAGAGAUGGAUUGGUGCCUUCGGGAACUUACAUACAGGUGCUGCAUGGCUGUCGUCAGCUCGUGUCGUGAGAUGUUGGGUUAAGUCCCGCAACGAGCGCAACCCUUUUCCUUAUUUGCCAGCGAGUAAUGUCGGGAACUUUAAGGAUACUGCCAGUGACAAACUGGAAGGAAGGNGGGGACGACGUCAAGUCAUCA
This 1155-nucleotide ribosomal RNA is filed under the name uncultured Acinetobacter sp. Its description in RNAcentral is "bacterial SSU rRNA". It matches the Rfam family "Bacterial small subunit ribosomal RNA", at positions 42 to 1195 of the family's 1533-position model. The record is from RNAcentral. Lineage: Bacteria; Pseudomonadati; Pseudomonadota; Gammaproteobacteria; Moraxellales; Moraxellaceae.